RNAcentral lists this long non-coding RNA (874 nucleotides) under Olea europaea subsp. europaea. Lineage: Eukaryota; Viridiplantae; Streptophyta; Magnoliopsida; Lamiales; Oleaceae. The record is from RNAcentral.
CGAGGUCUUGAAUCCUGCUGUCCUUAGAGGCCAUAGACGUCUCGACCCCAGCUGCCCUCUUGGCCUCCUCGAGCCCUUGCAGAGAGAGUCCUCGAGCUAUACUCAACAUCUGGAAAAAAUGAAGAAAAUGUCAAGUGUUAAGCUCGACCAAUAAACUCGAGGCUAAAGUCAAAAGUUCGAAGAUUACCUUCACUGUAAGACCCUCGAGGACCCUCAUCCCAUCCUCGAGCUUGACCUCCUCUUUGUACUUGUUUACGAGCUCAAGAGCGAGGUGGUAAGUCUCAAAGUCCCCGGUGAGAGACGGGUCAUCCUCAAGGUCAACCACUUCAGAAGGAGGCCGAGGAGUGACGACCCGAGGAGUGGGAGACCUGAGGUUCGGUUGCUGAGGGGUCGAGACUGGUGGAUGCGCUCGAGAAGUUUCGCCAGGCCCCCUUGCACCCUCAGGAGUCCCUCGAGGCCUCUUCUUACUUUUCUUCCUCGGGGGCUGUCCCUGUGGAUGAGCAUUCCCCCUUGAGCUUACAAAAUUCCGAAGGGCCCGAGGAUCAAAAGACAUACCUGCAAAAAUUUAUCAACAUUUUAGAAUGAGCACAAGGUCAGGGUAUUUUUCAAAAAAUAAUAAUAAUUAAACAUCCCUACCCUCGACGCCUCUAAUAUCUGCCAGGUCUAUAACCUCUUCCCCAAUCUCCUUCAUCGUCGAGAAAAGGGGGCUGAGCCCGACCAGCAUCCUCCUAUGCUCUUCCAAAACAUCCGGAUACACCUGGCCCUCACAGAACUUCUCGGCGUCGGGGAUUCCCAAAUCAGGCCAGAAAGGAAGAUCGGGUUCUUGGGCUAUAACAUAAAACCACCCCUCCCUCCAUCCCUUCAAGGAGCUUGC